This 71-nucleotide transfer RNA is filed under the name Phoxinus phoxinus (Eurasian minnow). Its description in RNAcentral is "tRNA-Gly". It matches the Rfam family "tRNA". Rfam says of the family: Transfer RNA (tRNA) molecules are approximately 80 nucleotides in length. Their secondary structure includes four short double-helical elements and three loops (D, anti-codon, and T loops). The record is from RNAcentral. Lineage: Eukaryota; Metazoa; Chordata; Actinopteri; Cypriniformes; Leuciscidae.
AUCUUUCUAGUAUCAAAUUAGUACGAAUGACUUCCAAUUAUUCAGUCUUGGUUAAAUCCCAAGGAAAGAUA